This is a non-coding RNA of Poecilia reticulata (guppy), 4018 nucleotides long. The record is from RefSeq and is a predicted model, not a curated record. Lineage: Eukaryota; Metazoa; Chordata; Actinopteri; Cyprinodontiformes; Poeciliidae.
AAAGUUUCAAAAACUGAAGAACAAACACUAGCCGCCUCUUAAAAAGUACAACGGUUGACGUGUACAUGUAGGUCGGUCAGCUGUGGACGGAUUGGAGUGCUACAUGUCUGCUUACUCAGCAGCCUGCACCAAAGCGCAGCUUGCUUACCGUUCUUUUUUUAAAACAGACCGCAGGGUAGUAAAUAGCUACGAGGAGGAUCACAGCCUUCACAGCUGAUUGGUUUGCUGCCGGCCUGACACAAACAGGAAGCCGGUCGUGCAAGUCAGAGGAGAGAGCGGACGACGAGGAGAGACAGACAAGAGUGCCGCGUGACUCAUGGAGGAAUGCAGUGUGUGAUUCAGAUCUCUGCAUCGUCAGCAGGCAGCGUGGACCGAAAAAUGAUGCCAAACACAUCUCAUUCCCGUAAUGUUUGGCAAUUGCUGAGGCCUGCUCGGGGACCGCAUUUCCUUGGAUCCUCGCACCGUGCAGAAUAUGCUCCCUAUUUGCCUCCAGGAGUAGGCAGACAUUCAAUCCGACCUCCUCAAUGUCAGAAUGGCGACGGAGAUAUACUUGGUAACUUGUGUUUUUGCACCCCUCCUUCCACCCUUUCCCAGUGUGAGUGUGUAUGCAUGUAUCUUUCAAGCCCUUCAUUUCCCAGAAAAGAGCUGAGGAUUUAUGAGUGCAUGGGCCGCCGCGAGCGACAUCUCCAGAGAAGGAUGAGUGUUUCCUGCAAACAGUUGGGAGGGGGUGCGUGUGUGUGUGCGUGAGUGUGUGUGGGUGGACAGCUUCCAUAGAAACACUAUCCAGCAACACUUGAGGAGCGUCAUCAAGGGGAGGUGUGCUGUGUGUGAGCACGGAGGAGGCGUGCUUCUGAGAAAAAGCCCACGAGGCCGUGCAGAUCUGUGAUUGACAGUUGACUCUGCUGAUUACUGCCCCUCAGGGACAAACUCCUGACAACAGCUGCUGCUUCAAACUCCCCCUGAACUCUCGCUAACAUCAGCUGUCUCACAUAACGUCUCUCCAAAUAUGUCCAAACUUGACUCGUCAGCUUAAGCGUGGCAUCCGAAUCCCCUUCUUUUACGUCUACUUCUGCCUCUGCAGAAAUCUGACACAGGAGGACUUCGCCUGACCUGCUGAACCGACAAGUAUCUGCAAAGUAUCAGGAGCCAGGGUUGCCAGGUCUGACUGACAGUUUAAAGCCUAAACACAACAUAAAACUCACCCAGCUCCAAAGAAAACAGCCCAAACCUCAACCUCUAAUGAAACUCAUGUUAACAGCGUGAGUCAUAGUCAUAAGCUGACUUUCCAUUCACCAUAUAAUUUAGCAAAUUGAAAUUACAAAAAUAAAUUUGCUUAAUGGAUGCAUGGCAAAGGGAUGAAAUGGGUUUUCGGUUGUAUCCAAAUUAGUGUAUUUGCAAUUUAAACAAAUUUUGUGCAUCACACGAGUGAUGCAAAAAUCAUGAACAACCGGAUGUUACUACUGGUGGAAAUGACAAAGAAGACGACAGGAAGUGGUAGGAGGAUGAUGGCGCAACAUAUUUUCUGAUUUAUUGUGUGAACAAACUUAUUUGUGUUUCUGAUUAAUCCAAGUUUCUGAUUUAAUGGCAUCACCGCAAUUACAAAAUUGUGUUUUUUCAAUAUUAGCAGAAUAUCAAAAAAGUUCUGCGCACAUUUAAGCGCAAAAUGCAGCUAUAUAUGCAUAUAUAGCUGAGAAAUGCAGCUAUAUAUGAAGACAGUUUUGGUUGUCCUUUAUUAUAUUCGAUAUUGUAUUAUAUUCUCAUUAGGAUUGACUGAACACAAUGAAACUUGAGGUUUUUUUUGUGGAGCCUUGUAAUUUUAAAUCAUGUUGAUGACCUGCUAUUUCUGUUUUAUAAUACUACUACAUAGUGACACUUGAUUAACCAAUAACUAAUCAUUGAUGAUGUCACAUUCGCCAGAUUCUAGAGAUUUCAAAAUAAAUGAACUAAUAAGCGGUGGCAGUUUCUGAUAUGGGCAGUAGCCCUGGGUGGCUUUUCAAAUGGGGCGGCAGGAGCUUUGUUAUUUGCAUUUAGCUGUUUGAGAUGACAUAUUUGGUUUUUAGCAAUAUAUAUUGUAUAUUUUUUAGAUUAUAAUUCUUAUGAAACUAAACUAAAACAUGGGAAAGUAAAACUACUAAAGGCAAUGAUCUUGUGAUGUAGUUUGGACCGAGUUAAAUAGCCAUUAGCUGGAAGAGGUGUUGUUUUCUCUAUGCUAUGUAAAUCACUUCACAAGUUAUGUUAGCUUGCUUUUAUUACUCUAUUACUUUAGGCUACUUCUUGGAAACAAUUUUAUAGCCUAUUAAAUAGGGAUGUCGAUAUGGAAAUUUGGCCUGAUCGCUGAUAAUACUGGUGUUAUAUCCAAUAUUUGCCAAUGUCAUAUAGAUUGCAUAUAGUACCUUACACUAUCAGCACUGUAAAAACGACCACAGCUUCUUUAUUCUCUGCUUCAGAUAAACCUCUGCUGCAUCACACUUCCACGUUUGUUAAAUGAGAUAUUAAAAGAAAUUUUCAGUGUGUCUGUGCUGACGAAAUGAAAUGUAAAUGAUGUGUUAUGGUCAGUUGAAAAGCAGGAAGGGAGCGCUGGAUGUAAUUUGCCCGGGACAGCAAACAAGCUGGGACUGCCCUUGAUAAUAAGUGUAAUAACAGCAUUUUAUUAAAAGAUUUCUGCCAAACAAUGGCAUCUAUUUUGGACAAAUUUUCCUCUGAACAUUUUCCAAAAGCCCGUCAAAUGUUGUGAAAAGCGGCCGACAUUUUAACAACCAUUUAAUCUGGCAGUACUGUCCCGAACAUUUUCACCCUUCGUCUCCCCUCUUUAUCCUCCGCCGCCGCCGCCAUCGGGUGGUGCGGACGUGAGGAGGAACAGUGACUUCAUGGUGGGGUUGUGUAAGAGCGCGGGGCGAGGCCUGAAAACCGAGCCGUGUGAGACAAACGAAAGUGCUGAUGAGCCAAAAAGAGAGCUAGUGUUGCUGGAAGCCUGCAGAUAUUCCCCCCUUCAACCCAACUCAGCCCAACUCAGCACCCCCUGGGUAGAAGUCAGAUGUCAGAGAGGACAGACGAGGUCCGGACUCAUUCGAAGCCACGUGGACAGCAUGUAGAAGGCCCCGCUUUGGGCUAGCGGGGGGGUCAGGGCAUCAAGUUUAAAGGGUGGGGGUGGAGGGGAUCUAUUCCAACGGAGAGAGAAAGGUCGCAGUGUAAGCUGAUAAAGGCAGGAGGCAGGGCUUGGGGCCGCUUCCAGGCCAGCCAGUCAGCUGACGCUUGCAGCUGUGUUUGGAACAUCAAUAUGAGCCUUGUUCAGCCUCUUUCCACCCCCCGCCAUCACCGCCUCCCUUGCUUGCUCGCUCCUCACUCGGCAUCCCCCCCUCCUCUUCCCAACACGCCGUUUCCUUUCCUUUUUUUUUCCAGCUCUUGAUUUAUGAAAGUAGGGCAUGUGCCCAUAACUGCUGCAUCAAGGCACAUGGCUUAGCCUCCAGAGGCACUAAGGCGCUGUUUACAUCAGCCCAGACAACUGCACUGCAUUGCACAAUCGCCACAGGCAGCCUGUUAUAUAAAGUGUGGAGCCACGUUGGCUCUGUUGUUUUUGUUUCUCAUCUCAGGCCUCCUUCUCUACCUAUAAGCCCGAGCUGCACAAAUCCAGAUGUUCUCAACAAAGAUUUUAUGUGAUACACCAACUAGUGGCGGGCAUUUAUCGUAUCAUUUAUCAGUUAUCGUUAUAAUUUUUUUAUGAGAAGAUUUUUGAUUUAUUGUAUGGAUUCUAAUUAAUUAACCCCAUAAAACUGUAUUGUUGGGAUUGUUAUUUUUACUACUUUUCUCCAUUGUUCAAUAAACCUAUUUUAAUAAAUAUAACUCAAUUCAGUUACUGUAUGAAUUUUUGUGAUACAAGUCUAACAUUUUAGGUGACUAGUGACCUAAAGAAGCAUAUUACAAACGUUUUUCAAGAGUAUCUGUGUUUGUGAGAUUAUAAUUUCUGUGUAAUGCAGUCACAGCCACCAAAUUACCUAAAAAUGAUGUAAUAGUACCAGAA